RNAcentral lists this ribosomal RNA (405 nucleotides) under uncultured bacterium. RNAcentral describes it as "partial 16S ribosomal RNA". It matches the Rfam family "Bacterial small subunit ribosomal RNA", at positions 28 to 526 of the family's 1533-position model. The record is from RNAcentral.
GAUGAACGCUGGCGGCGUGCCUAAUACAUGCAAGUCGAGCGAAGCGGGGACGGGUGCGUAACACGUGGAUAACCUCAUCUAAGACUGGGAUAAAUUCGGGACACCGGAGCUAACCCGGAUACUAAUAGAUAGAUCAUAGCUGCAUUAGUUAGUUGGUAAGGCAACGGCGUACAACGGCAACGAUGCAUAGCCGACCUGAGAGGGGGAUCGGCCAAACUGGAACUGAGACACGGUCCAGACGCCUACGGGGGGCAGCAGUGGGGAAUCUUCUGCAAUGGGCGAAAGCCUGACGAAGCAACGCCGCGUGAGUGAGGAAGGUCUUCGGAUCGUAAAACUCGGUUAUUAGGGAAGCGGUACCUAAUCAGAAAGCCACGGCUAACUACGUGCCAGCAGCCGCGGUAAUUC